GUCUCUAAGCAUCCUAAAAGUAAGGAGCGAAGAGAAAAACAAACGUUACGAGCAACUCUAGGCUCAAACAUUAACCACCACAAGCAAAGGGGCAAAACUCACCUAGGGAGUAGAAAAUCUCUCUCAAGCUCCAAAAGAGAGCUAGAUCCCUUCCAAUCCAACCUAAAGGAAGAUUCUAAACCAAGUAAUUGAGCCUCAAAAGCCCUAGAUCAAAAAGCCCCAAAAU
Molecule: long non-coding RNA, 226 nt
Filed under: Ananas comosus (pineapple)
Lineage: Eukaryota; Viridiplantae; Streptophyta; Magnoliopsida; Poales; Bromeliaceae
Description: long non-coding RNA (ACOM_LNC041595)
Source: RNAcentral